AGAAAAGAGGAAGGGUAAAUAAACACUUUGUGCUUCCUCAAAAUUGUCACGUAUACUCUCUAAUAAGAUAGAUCAAUAGUAGAAAAGAUGAAUAAUCUCAACAAUUUCUAUUGAAGUUACUAACGUUUCAAAUCUCAUUAAGUUUCUGAGUAAUCCAUAUGCUUUCAAGGCUUAAAUACAUAUUGAGAUGACGAUAAAUAUGAGGAAAAUAACCUUUAUAUGAAUUAUGUUUGUGUAGAAAUCAAUAUGAAUGUGGAAAAGAGUUUAGAACUAAUUGAAUGAUUUUGAUGGCCUGAUGAGUGAAUUGAGAAGAACUAAAACAUGAUAUCUUUCUCAAACCUCCCUCACAAUGUGAGCUCAUAUCGUGAGAGAUAUUGGUUGAUUGGCCAGGACGUGGGCCUUGU
This 404-nucleotide long non-coding RNA is filed under the name Solanum tuberosum (potato). RNAcentral describes it as "long non-coding RNA (STUB_LNC000947)". Lineage: Eukaryota; Viridiplantae; Streptophyta; Magnoliopsida; Solanales; Solanaceae. The record is from RNAcentral.